Molecule: ribosomal RNA, 429 nt
Filed under: uncultured archaeon
Lineage: Archaea
Description: bacterial SSU rRNA
Rfam family: Archaeal small subunit ribosomal RNA
Source: RNAcentral
UACCUGCAGCUCGAGUGGUGAUCGUUAUUAUUGGGCCUAAAACGUCCGUAGCCGGUCUUAUAAAUGCCUGGGUAAAUCGUAUGGCUUAACCAUACGAAUUCCGGGUAGACUGUUUGACUUGAGACCGGGAGAAGCUAGAGGUACUCCUGGGGUAGAAGUGAAAUUCUGUAAUCCUAGGGGGACCACCAGUGGCGAAGGCGUCUAGCUAGAACGGGUCUGACGGUGAGGGACGAAGCCCUGGGGCGCAAACGGGAUUAGAUACCCCGGUAGUCCAGGGUGUAAACGCUGCUUGCUUGAUGUUAGUCUGGCUCCGAGCCAGAUUAGUGUCGGAGAGAAGUUGUUAAGCAAGCUGCCUGGGAAGUACGGCCGCAAGACCGAAACUUAAAGGAAUUGGCGGGGGAGCACAGCAACGGGUGGAGCGUGCGGUUU